GAUGAAGAACGUAGCGAAAUGCGAUAACUAAUGUGAAUUGCAGAAUUCCGUGAAUCAUCGAGUCUUUGAACGCACAUUGCGCCCCCUGGUAUUCCGGGGGGCAUGCCUGUCCGAGCGUCAUUGCUGCCCAUCAAGCACGGCUUUGUGUUGGGUCCUCGUCCCCCCCGGGGGACGUGCCCGAAAGGCAGCGGCGGCACCGCGUCCGGUCCUCGAGCGUAUGGGGCUUUGUCACCCGCUCUGCAGGCCCGGCCGGCGCUGGCCGACGCGAAAGCAACCAUUUUUUCUCCAGGUUGACCUCGGAUCAGGUAGGGAUACCCGCUGAACUUAAGCAUAUCAAUAAGCGGAGGA
This 348-nucleotide unclassified non-coding RNA is filed under the name soil metagenome. RNAcentral describes it as "partial contains 5.8S ribosomal RNA, internal transcribed spacer 2, and large subunit ribosomal RNA". The stretch from base 1 to 120 matches the Rfam family "5.8S ribosomal RNA", at positions 35 to 154 of the family's 154-position model. The record is from RNAcentral.